CCCUUAGAUGUUCUGGGCCGCACGCGCGCUACACUGAUGCAUUCAACGAGCCUAUCCUUGACCGACAGGUCCGGGUAAUCUUUGAAUCUGCAUCGUGACGGGGAUAGAUUAUUGCAAUUAUUAAUCUUCAUCGAGGAAUGCCUAGUAGGCGCAAGUCAUCAGCUUGCGUCGAUUACGUCCCUGCCCUUUGUACACACCGCCCGUCGCUCCUACCGAUUGGGUGUGCUGGUGAAAUGUUCGGAUCGGCCGUUUGUCGCGGUUUCCGCGUCAUGUGGCUGAGAAGUUCAUUAAACCCUCCCACCUAGAGGAAGGAGAAGUCGUAACA
RNAcentral lists this ribosomal RNA (325 nucleotides) under uncultured eukaryote. Its description in RNAcentral is "partial 18S ribosomal RNA". It matches the Rfam family "Eukaryotic small subunit ribosomal RNA", at positions 1470 to 1796 of the family's 1831-position model. The record is from RNAcentral.